CCUUCCGCACUCCGCAGUUAUUCUUUCCUCGUCCGCUCGUCGCAGGGCCCAGUCGCCCAAUUCAACUACGGCCUGCGGCGCGCUAAAAUUUUUAGGCCGGUGAUCUCUAAAGGGCUAGACCGUUAUUAUUUUAAUAGAAAAGACAACUAAACUCGAUUCAAAACCGAUCUUCGGAACAAGAUGGAUGAUGACUUUCUUAGUAAUUCUUUGAUCGUGUACAUUGAAAGAGAAAUUGCCAAAAAAUUUACUGUUGAUUCAAUUAUUGAUGAAUUUUAUGACUUGAAGAAGAGCCGAGCACUAUUCUAACUUUUACAUGGUAAACAAAAUUUUUAAUUUUUUUUUAUAUUUCUGUACUUCUAAUUUUUGUUAUAUACAGUUUAUUUUAUUAAUAUUUUUUUGAAAAUCAAUGUGUUUCUGGCUUCGUCGCUGGAAUCAACUAUAUGCUUAGCUUAUUGCAUUCAUCUCUCAAGGUAACUACAAUGCAUGAGAUUGUUACAAGUGACAAUAAAUAAGGACUAUAUAACUACUUGUUAGUGUUAAGUAGUUCCUAAUAAGAAAAAAAGCUGUUGAUGU
This is a long non-coding RNA of Ananas comosus (pineapple), 573 nucleotides long. RefSeq lists it as uncharacterized. The transcript is spliced from 2 exons. The record is from RefSeq and is a predicted model, not a curated record. Lineage: Eukaryota; Viridiplantae; Streptophyta; Magnoliopsida; Poales; Bromeliaceae.